This 347-nucleotide unclassified non-coding RNA is filed under the name soil metagenome. RNAcentral describes it as "partial contains 5.8S ribosomal RNA, internal transcribed spacer 2, and large subunit ribosomal RNA". The stretch from base 1 to 120 matches the Rfam family "5.8S ribosomal RNA", at positions 35 to 154 of the family's 154-position model. The record is from RNAcentral.
GAUGAAGAACGUAGCGAAAUGCGAUAACUAAUGUGAAUUGCAGAAUUCAGUGAAUCAUCGAGUCUUUGAACGCACAUUGCGCCCCCUGGUAUUCCGGGGGGCAUGCCUGUCCGAGCGUCAUUGCUGCCCUCAAGCACGGCUUGUGUGUUGGGCCCCGUCCUCCGAUCCCGGGGGACGGGCCCGAAAGGCAGCGGCGGCACCGCGUCCGGUCCUCGAGCGUAUGGGGCUUUGUCACCCGCUCUGUAGGCCCGGCCGGCGCUUGCCGAUCAACCCAAAUUUUUUAUCCAGGUUGACCUCGGAUCAGGUAGGGAUACCCGCUGAACUUAAGCAUAUCAAUAAGCGGAGGA